RNAcentral lists this long non-coding RNA (393 nucleotides) under Coffea arabica (coffee). Its description in RNAcentral is "long non-coding RNA (CARA_LNC008386)". Lineage: Eukaryota; Viridiplantae; Streptophyta; Magnoliopsida; Gentianales; Rubiaceae. The record is from RNAcentral.
AACACAUCACACACUGAGCAAUGCACAACCAUAAGUUCUUCAACGAUACAUUUUACGGCCUUGUAUCACUAUCCUUUCAUGAAUGUUUACAAAGUAAAGUCCUUAACUUUGUGGUUUGCCGAAAACCAACAUUCAUAUAGGCGACAUCUUAGUGCCCCCGCCAUAGAUAGCACUUUAAAGAUUCGUUAAGAGUCCAAUGACUCAUCCUUACAUUUGCACUGGCGAGAAUAACAUGCACUAUUCAACAUUGGGAUGACUAAACUUCAUAUAGUGCACCAACCACUAGAAUGAUGUACUUUCACUCAUUGAAUUCAGGACCAGACGUUGUAUCUAGCGUUGAAUUGAGGUUCCACCAUUAGUGAUCAAGAAUUUUGGACUUUAAACCCAUUCCCC